RNAcentral lists this ribosomal RNA (234 nucleotides) under bacterium. RNAcentral's name for it is "partial 16S ribosomal RNA". It matches the Rfam family "Bacterial small subunit ribosomal RNA", at positions 1288 to 1533 of the family's 1533-position model. The record is from RNAcentral.
CCAGUUCGGAUUGAGGUCUGCAACCCGACCUCAUGAAGCCGGAAUCGCUAGUAAUCGUGGGUCAGCCAUACCACGGUGAAUACGUUCUCAAGCUUUGUACUCACCGCCCGUCAAGUCAGGGAAGUUGGGAGUGCCCGAAGGACAUACUCGUUAUGUACCAAGGCAAACUCAAUGACAAAGACUAAGUCGUAACAAGGCACGGGUAGCGGAAGCUGCUCGUGGAAUCAUUCAAAA